This 72-nucleotide transfer RNA is filed under the name Sphaerodactylus townsendi. RNAcentral's name for it is "tRNA-Gln". Lineage: Eukaryota; Metazoa; Chordata; Lepidosauria; Squamata; Sphaerodactylidae. The record is from RNAcentral.
AGAGGUUGUGGCUCAGUGGUAGAGCAGUGUCUUGGCUUGCAUAAGAUCUCAGGUUCGAUCCCUGCAUCUCCA